GACGAACGCUGGCGGCGUGCUUAACACAUGCAAGUCGAACGGUAAGGCCCUUCGGGGUACACGAGUGGCGAACGGGUGAGUAACACGUGGGUGAUCUGCCCUGCACUUCGGGAUAAGCCUGGGAAACUGGGUCUAAUACCGGAUAGGACCACUGCCUGCAUGGGUGGUGGUGGAAAGCUUUUGCGGUGUGGGAUGGGCCCGCGGCCUAUCAGCUUGUUGGUGGGGUGUUGGCCUACCAAGGCGACGACGGGUAGCCGGCCUGCGAGGGUGACCGGCCACACUGGGACUGAGAUACGGCCCAGACUCCGACGGGAGGCAGCAGUGGGGAAUAUUGCACAAUGGGCGCAAGCCUGAUGCAGCGACGCCGCGUGAGGGAUGACGGCCUUCGGGUUGUAAACCUCUUUCAGCACCGACGAAGCGCAAGUGACGGUAGGUGCAGAAGAAGGACCAGCCAACUACGUGCCAGCCGCCGCCGUAA
Molecule: ribosomal RNA, 478 nt
Filed under: uncultured bacterium
Lineage: Bacteria
Description: partial 16S ribosomal RNA
Rfam family: Bacterial small subunit ribosomal RNA
Source: RNAcentral